CCUACGGGGGACAGCAGUGGGGAAUAUUGGACAAUGGGGGGAACUCUGAUCCAGCGACGCCGCGUGAGUGAAGAAGUACUUCGGUAUGUAAAGCUCUAUCAGCAGGGAAGAAAAUGACGGUACCUGACUAAGAAGCCCCGGCUAACUACGUGCCAGCAGCCGCGGUAAUACGUAGGGGGCAAGCGUUAUCCGGAUUUACUGGGUGUAAAGGGAGCGUAGACGGUGCAGCAAGUCUGAUGUGAAAGGUAGGGGCCCAACCCCGGGACUGCAUUGGAAACUGUUGAACUGGAGUACAGGAGAGGUAGGCGGAAUUCCUAGUGUAGCGGUGAAAUGCGUAGAUAUUAGGAGGAACACCAGUGGCGAAGGCGGCUUGCUGGACUGUAACUGACGUUGAGGCUCGAAAGCGUGGGGAGCAAACAGGAUUAGAUACCCGAGUAGUC
Molecule: ribosomal RNA, 440 nt
Filed under: uncultured bacterium
Lineage: Bacteria
Description: partial 16S ribosomal RNA
Rfam family: Bacterial small subunit ribosomal RNA
Source: RNAcentral